Molecule: ribosomal RNA, 207 nt
Filed under: uncultured bacterium
Lineage: Bacteria
Description: partial 16S ribosomal RNA
Rfam family: Bacterial small subunit ribosomal RNA
Source: RNAcentral
CGCGUAGGCGGCUGGAUAAGUCAGAUGUGAAAUCCCACGGCUUAACUGUGGAAGUGCAUUUGAGACUGUCCGGCUUGAGUAUCGGAGGGGAGUGUGGAAUUCCCGGUGUAGAGGUGAAAUUCGUAGAGAUCGGGAGGAACACCGGUGGCGAAGGCGACACUCUGGACGCAUACUGACGCUGAGGCGCGAAAGCGUGGGGAGCAAACA